GUUCGAAUAGUGUAGUGGUUAUCACGCGUCGUUCACACCGACGAGGUCCCCGGUUCGAUCCCGGGUUCGAACA
RNAcentral lists this transfer RNA (73 nucleotides) under Fonsecaea multimorphosa CBS 102226. Its description in RNAcentral is "tRNA-Val (CAC) (tRNA-Val-CAC-1-1)". It matches the Rfam family "tRNA". From Rfam's summary of the family: Transfer RNA (tRNA) molecules are approximately 80 nucleotides in length. Their secondary structure includes four short double-helical elements and three loops (D, anti-codon, and T loops). The record is from RNAcentral. Lineage: Eukaryota; Fungi; Ascomycota; Eurotiomycetes; Chaetothyriales; Herpotrichiellaceae.